GAAAGAAAUAAACGGGGGUGAAAAAAAUAUCUUGUACCUCCCCGUCGGGGAAUCGAACCCCGGUCUCCCGCGUGACAGGCGGGGAUACUUACCACUAUACUAACGAGGACCUGUACAGUCGAGUGUUU
Molecule: transfer RNA, 128 nt
Filed under: Gallus gallus (chicken)
Lineage: Eukaryota; Metazoa; Chordata; Aves; Galliformes; Phasianidae
Description: transfer RNA-Asparagine
Source: RNAcentral